Molecule: long non-coding RNA, 2037 nt
Filed under: Phoenix dactylifera (date palm)
Lineage: Eukaryota; Viridiplantae; Streptophyta; Magnoliopsida; Arecales; Arecaceae
Description: long non-coding RNA (PDAC_LNC005136)
Source: RNAcentral
UAAUAUUUGCAUGUUUCUUAGCCGCAAGGCCUUGUUAUAUUUUCAGGAUGGAAACAGCAUUUAUGAAACCAAAUCUGCAAGAGUGACGUUAUCAUGAGGAAUAGGAUAAUCAUUUCAAUUGUCAAAUUCUAGGACCAUAUUAUAAGAGAUGCCAUGCCAAAGGAUGAGGAUGCUAGGCUGUUAGAGUUAUGACCUUUUGCUUUGAUUCUUCCACAGUUCUUCAGAAUCUUGAUGACUCAGGUACAAUUGAAAAUAUUAUUAAUUAUGUGUUUUUAUAUGGUCCAAGCCUUUGUGCAGAUAGCACUUGUAGGAAAAAUACUUGUUAGUGAUAGCUAGGCUGUGGGACCACAAAUCUGCUCCUCGGGAGGAGUGCUCCUUUGGAGAGAAAGGGAUGUACAAAUGAAGAAAGACAGACAUAGUGUUAAGGAGGGUUGGUGAAGAAAGAAAAAAGGCCCUUAAGAAGAUGCGUGGAAGUUGCGAGGAACGAUUUAAAAGUGCCCAGUCAUAUGGAAUUUAUAUACCUUGCUAGGAAGGCAAUUAUACUGACAUUCUGUCCCACUUCAAUAUAGUUAGAUCGAACAGACUUAAUAAAUGAAAAAUCCACCCCUGUCUAUCUCUAGCAAUGUUAUGAGGGAUAACAUGUCUGAGUUUGAAUGUGAUCAAGAAUGUCAGGUUGGGAAUAUUUUUGCCUUAACAUAAGAAUAUCCUACAUUGUAUUAAUCAUACUCCUCGAGAUUAACUCUACAUACUCAAUCAGGAUAGCAGUACUUUACGAAUUGAUUGUCUGUCUUCUAUAAAGAGGGUCAGUGUAUGCAUCAACUAUAAUCUAUAUUUCAUUCUGCAUAGCUUCCAUAUCAUGUCAAGCAUGUGCAUAUUAAACAUGUGACAGCAUAAUCUAAUCUUAAAGAAGAUCAAUUCAAAAUCAAAAGAAUGGCUCUAUCCAUUUCUGGGCAACUUUGUCAUGGUUUACGGUGACAUAUGUUCAUCCAUUAAGAAAAAAAAAGCAAGCGUACAGGUGAAAUUCACAGCGUGAGACAUCUGAGAACCAUAUUAACAGAUUCAACAAUCAAUGGUAGAGUUUUUUUUUAACUUUAAUAAGAUUUUUCGAUCAUGUAAAUUGGGUGUUUCAUCUUAUAAUCAUUUUCCUUCUACACAAAAAUCAUUAUAUUUUUCUUUUAUGUACUUUUACAAAUAUGAUUUUUGAUUAAUGCAAUGGAUCCUGGUAAAUGUUCUCAAGCAAGCAUGCGUAUUCCUUGAUGGACUAAACCAUGAUAAAGACCGGCAUAAAGGGUGCUGUAAACAUGCCUAGAAAAGCGUCUGACAUGUUAGCUAGAUCUAUGACACUGUGUUUUCUAAUGCCAAUAGCUCAUCAAAGUUUUCAAUUUUAUAUUUUGGCUUUGCGAAUAAGCUGAAAUUAUCGUGCAUUUCAAAAUAUUUUAAAGCUCUCGGAAUAUGAACCUUUUAGUUAAACAUUAGAAAGGUCCAAAAUUUUGAAUCACAACAAAGAAAAAACAAAAACUGAGAAUAAAUGGUCGUGACAAGUUCUGCAAAUUGAUUCAGAUACACUAAUGUGUUGAUUAAUAAAAUAAAGAGUUCUAUAACUAAUUCAAUGAAUUAGUCUAAGACCCUACAAAAUCUCUAAAUUUCUUGUAUAUAUACUAAAACUUUCCAAAGCAUAACAAGAACUAAAGAAAACAGCUUAGUUUACCGGUUUCACGAAGGCAUCAGCUGGCUCCUCUUUGCCACAGAUUCCAUCCCUCCAAAUGGCCACGACGUCCUACCACCUCGCCGCCGCCGCCGCCGCCGCCGCAUCCAUCCGCACCGCAGGCGAGGACUACGGCGUUAUCUCCCCGGCAUCGGCGGCCGAUCGGCGCCGCCCACCAGCACGUCCGCUUCGAGAGCCAUCAAGAUCGAAGGAGAAUUUGGCCAUCAAUUCGGGAGCGAUCGAAAUGCGAGGAGAUCGAAAAGCGAGGAUGAAGUGAGAGAGCUAAACCCUAGCGAGGUCGCGUUAAGAAGAAAAAGGGGCUUUAGGUUGAC